Molecule: long non-coding RNA, 434 nt
Organism: Physella acuta
Lineage: Eukaryota; Metazoa; Mollusca; Gastropoda; Physidae
Source: RefSeq, a predicted model, not a curated record
UAAAUCAGAUGCCUUCAGAUUGCCUAUAACAAACGUGUGUAACCUCUGACCAAUGAAUUCUUAUCUUGGCAUUAGACAAGUACAUAAACACUCAGUAAGGGAGUUAAUCAGACAGACAGCGAAGAUGAAACUGAUGCUUGUUUUAGUUGGUAUUUGCACAAUACUUGCCCUUGGGCAUGCAUCAUGGUCUCUUUUCUCCCCUAACCCAAUCCCCAGCCAAGAACCCUGUAGCCAGCCCCUGACCGUGUGUGCUAACCCCUGCAUCGGACGUACCUGCAGAUAUGUUACAUCUGCCGUCUGCGUGCCAGAUUACUGUGGUGGAUGCAACUACAAGUUCUAUAUGAAUGGUAUUCUAAUAAAUGACGACGUAUGUUCACUACUCAUUGUUGGGUAAUCACGUGUUCUUGCCUCAGUUCAUUAAACAAACAUGAGCU